GGAGGACUAUUUUUCUAUCACCUCCACAUAGCCAAAGAAAGGAAACUGAAGAACAACACUCUGUGCAACAGAUUGAUAACAAAGUGGAAGACAUGUUUUCUGGGGAUUUUCAGUCUAACAUACAGCAAAAUCAUCUCCUACCCAAUGAUACUGCCAACUUAAUCAAGGUCAACCUUCAGACAGAUAGCAGAGAAAACCUCCAUCCUUGAUUAAUGAAAAGAAUACGUUGAGAUGGAAAAGACAAAGACACAGCAAAGAAGGUUUUGAGGAUAUGAGCAAAUAACUUCAAAAUUUACAGAGUCCCAUGAGCAGUAUUUAUUAUAUAUUCUUUCUCACAUUCCCCUUCCCAUUACA
This is a long non-coding RNA of Capra hircus (goat), 354 nucleotides long. RefSeq lists it as uncharacterized. The record is from RefSeq and is a predicted model, not a curated record. The transcript has 3 exons. NCBI's taxonomy places the organism in Eukaryota, Metazoa, Chordata, Mammalia, Artiodactyla, Bovidae.